UCAGAACGAACGCUGGCGGCAUGCCUAACACAUGCAAGUCGAACGAACCCUUCGGGGUUAGUGGCGCACGGGUGCGUAACGCGUGGGAAUCUGCCCUUUGCUUCGGAAUAACAGUUAGAAAUGACUGCUAAUACCGGAUGAUGUCUUCGGACCAAAGAUUUAUCGGCAAGGGAUGAGCCCGCGUAGGAUUAGGUAGUUGGUGGGGUAAAGGCCUACCAAGCCGACGAUCCUUAGCUGGUCUGAGAGGAUGAUCAGCCACACUGGGACUGAGACACGGCCCAGACUCCUACGGGAGGCAGCAGUGGGGAAUAUUGGACAAUGGGCGCAAGCCUGAUCCAGCAAUGCCGCGUGAGUGAUGAAGGCCUUCGGGUCGUAAAGCUCUUUUACCAGGGAUGAUAAUGACAGUACCUGGAGAAUAAGCUCCGGCUAACUCCGUGCCAGCAGCCGCGGUAAUACGGAGGGAGCUAGCGUUGUUCGGAAUUACUGGGCGUAAAGCGCACGUAGGCGGCGACACAAGUCAGAGGUGAAAGCCCGGGGCUCAACCCCGGUACUGCCUUUGAAACUAGGUUGCUAGAAUCUUGGAGAGGUCAGUGGAAUUCCGAGUGUAGAGGUGAAAUUCGUAGAUAUUCGGAAGUACACCAGUGGCGAAGGCGACUGACUGGACAAGUAUUGACGCUGAGCGUGCGAAAGCGUGGGGAGCAAACAGGA
This 708-nucleotide ribosomal RNA is filed under the name uncultured Sphingomonas sp. RNAcentral's name for it is "bacterial SSU rRNA". It matches the Rfam family "Bacterial small subunit ribosomal RNA", at positions 24 to 777 of the family's 1533-position model. The record is from RNAcentral. Lineage: Bacteria; Pseudomonadati; Pseudomonadota; Alphaproteobacteria; Sphingomonadales; Sphingomonadaceae.